RNAcentral lists this ribosomal RNA (321 nucleotides) under Nasutitermes kemneri. RNAcentral describes it as "partial large subunit ribosomal RNA". The record is from RNAcentral. Lineage: Eukaryota; Metazoa; Arthropoda; Insecta; Blattodea; Termitidae.
UGCCCACUGACCGUUAAAGGGUUGAAGGGCCGCGGUAUUUUGACCGUGCAAAGGUAGCAUAAUCAUUAGUUCUUUAAUUGUGAUCUGGUAUGAAUGGCUUGACGAGAUAUAAGCUGUCUUAGAGGUAUUGGUUUAUUGAAUUUGGUUUUUGAGUUAAAAUUCUUAAAUGUUUUUAUGGGACGAGAAGACCCUAUAGAGUUUGACAAUUUUCUUAUUUGUUCGUUGUUUGUUUUNGUUAUAUUGAGUGGGAACANAUUGUUUUGUUGGGGUGAUGGGAGGAACAUUGUUUAACUCCUCUUUGUUUUUGUAUAUUUAUGUAUA